Molecule: long non-coding RNA, 1933 nt
Filed under: Homo sapiens (human)
Lineage: Eukaryota; Metazoa; Chordata; Mammalia; Primates; Hominidae
Description: HSALNT0318728
Source: RNAcentral
CCCACCAAUCAGCCAUCUGUGGUUUGAGACUCACAAGCUUAGGAGAGACUCGGGAGGCAUCAGUUCCGCAUCCCGCACUCCCACGUGAAUUUGCCCCCGCCCUGAGUCAGAACCCUAGAGGGGUGAAAUCCCUGAAUUCUGCAGAGGAAACCCAUACUUCUUUGCUUUUUCAGCAAUUCCAGGAGAUGUCGUUUUUCAAGUGGCAAAUGUGUGGCUCUAGAGGACAGAGUAACCACCUUGCAGCCAAGAAGCCCUGAUGUCAACUCCCAGCUCUGCUGCAGCACCCAGAAAUCACCGGACCUUUCUGCAUCUUUCUGGGUGACUCUGUCAUGAGGAUUUCAUAAUGUAAUUCCCUAGCACAUAAGAAUUUCUCAACCAAUAUGGCUUUCUUUUUUCCUUCUCACUAGUCUUUGAGCUUCUUAAAGGGAAGACAUGUCCUAUUCAUCUCUACACCCCCCACACCAGUCUGCAUUCAGUAAGUGCUCAAUCAAUGUCUGCUGAAUCACAUCUUCCCACUCAACUGCAUGGCCUCGGAUGAUCCAAUUCUGUGGGACUCAGGGUCUCCCUGAUUCUGAAGAUCUCCAUUUCAGCCACCCCAUCCUGGUGCUUUUUCUGGAGAGACUGGGAAAAAGGUCUUAUUGGCUGUGCAAACUUGAGGGAGUUGCCUAACCACUCUGGGCCCUGUUUUCCUGGCUUUGCCACUCUUCAGCUGUGUGACCCGGGGAAGCUCUCAACCUCUUUGUGCCUCCAUUUCCACAUCUGUAAAAUGGGGAUAUGAAAGUGGCUGCUUUGUGAAGAGUCCUGAGAAUAAAUGAGUUAAGUUUCCAUGAAUCAGGAAUCCAGGAGUGGUGUAAGUUUCUCAGGAAGUUGCAGUCAAGACAUUGGCCAGGUCUGUGAUCAUCUGAAGGCUUGACUGGGGCUGACAGAUCCACCUCCAAGUUGGUUCACUCCCAUGGUGCAGACUGCUGGCAGAAGAACUCAAUGUCUCCCACAUGGGCCCCUCAACAGGCUGCUUGAGUAUGUUCAGAGCAUGGUGGCUGGCCUCCCUCCAAGUGAGCAGUCCAAGACCUAUUCUGGGACGUCAUACACCAACACUUUUGCCACAUUCUACUCCUUAGAAGCAAGUCCCUAAGCAAAGCUCAUACUCCACGGGAGGGAAACCAGGCUCCACCUCUUGAAGGGAGGGGCACCAAAUAAUUUGCAAGUAUAUUUCAAAACCACUGCAGGUCACAUGGUGCAGAAAGACAGAAGCAGAGCAGAAGAAUAUUAAAACCUAUUGAAUUUACAACAGCAAGAAUAAAAUACAUGAUUGUUGGAACAUUUAGAGCUCCUUUCUCUCUAUUGUCUGCCCAGGAAAACUGAUAUGGAUAAAUAUGGAAGAGAGCUGGCCAGUGGAUGAAAUGGUGAUGUAAAGGUGAGCUUUGCGGAAGAGUGGAGAAAAGAGAUUGGCACUGAAGUGGGCAGUGAAAGAGCAAGAGGCUUGUGGGAGACUUGAUUUCAGAGGCAGCGUUUGGAUGGUUAUGAACAGGCUUUCCUCUUCUUUCAGGGGUACCGUAAAGAUCAGAAUUAAUAGUAUGACUAUUUGGUUUGGAGGCUGUUUCAUUAAGUAUUACACUGUGGAGAGACUGGAUCACAUGGGUCAUAUUAUUUAUUCAGGUUACAUUCACACUCCCUGUGAAUUCCCACCCUAUGCAAACUGGCAAGAAAACGCUAUUUUAAAAGAUUCUUGAACGCUUUUGUAUCUUUCUUAAGACUUUUGUAUACAGCACUGUUCACAUAGUAGGUAGUCAAAAUUAGUGAGAAAGACUCAAGCAAAAAGUUUAUUUGGAUUUCCAUAUGAUUUAUAAGCCAAGACGCUAUAAUCCAAAGAGGCAGGAAAAUGAUGUAAACUAGAAAUAAAAAUAUUUGUAAGUGACAAUGUGUCCUGAAUUCU